CCUACGGGCGGCAGCAGUGGGGAAUAUUGGACAAUGGGCGAAAGCCUGAUCCAGCCAUGCCGCGUGUGUGAAGAAGGCCUUCGGGUUGUAAAGCACUUUCAGUGGGGAAGAAAGCCUUGGGGCUAAUACCCUCGAGGAAGGACAUCACCCACAGAAGAAGCACCGGCUAACUCCGUGCCAGCAGCCGCGGUAAUACGGAGGGUGCGAGCGUUAAUCGGAAUUACUGGGCGUAAAGCGCGCGUAGGCGGUCUGAUAAGCCGGUUGUGAAAGCCCCGGGCUCAACCUGGGAACGGCAUCCGGAACUGUCAGGCUAGAGUGCAGGAGAGGAGGGUAGAAUUCCCGGUGUAGCGGUGAAAUGCGUAGAGAUCGGGAGGAAUACCAGGGGCGAAGGCGGCCUUCUGGACUGACACUGACGCUGAGGUGCGAAAGCGUGGGUAGCAAACAGGAUUAGAUACCCCGGUAGUC
RNAcentral lists this ribosomal RNA (465 nucleotides) under Vreelandella stevensii. Its description in RNAcentral is "partial 16S ribosomal RNA". It matches the Rfam family "Bacterial small subunit ribosomal RNA", at positions 338 to 795 of the family's 1533-position model. Lineage: Bacteria; Pseudomonadati; Pseudomonadota; Gammaproteobacteria; Oceanospirillales; Halomonadaceae. The record is from RNAcentral.